AUGGAUCCUAAUGGCUCCUAUCCUAACAUUUCCCCCUUGCAUGAAGCAUUGAGAGGCACGACAGCCAUGCCGGUAUUGAAUGAUUUCGUAGACCUUGAAUCCCCAUCAUCAUAUUCACCUUCGAUAGGAAAUUCCUCAACAAAAAUGCAUGCACCACAAGAAGGUACCGUGAUGCCGGUCAAUGAUAGUUCCAUGAUUCCAUACCAAUCUAGUGCAGAACUCGCACCACUACCCCCACAACUGGGUGAUACAAUCCCUAUUCCUUUAUCCUCAGACAAAAAAGGAAUGUUCUCGCAUGAAGGCUUCCUCACAAAUCCUUUUUGGAAUGAAUUCAACUCGUCACAUCAGAUGCAGAAUUUGUCCACGGAGGCUUCAUCAUUCACACCCUUACUCCAAACAGAGCCAAAUUCAAUUGUUCAUUCCCAUCUUUACACUAAUGGAGUGUUGGAUGAUGGUUCACUCUUUAAGAUGGCCACGAGGGAUGUUUCCGAGAAGCAGAUGAAGAUACAAGAUGAAAGAUUAUCAAAUGCUGAUCCAUAUGGUGUACCUGCCCCUGCUUCUCCUACCAUGCAAUCCUCACAUAUUCAAAGAGAAGAUAAGAUCCUUCUAGUUGGUCCAAAUGGCAUUUCUGAUAGUGCUAUUAUGCAUGAUUCUACAACCCCACGUAAAUACACAUGCAAGAUUUGCAAUGCCACAUUCAACACAUCUCAAGCAUAUGGUGGUCACAUGAGUUCGCAUAGCAAAGCAAGGAUGAAAAGCCUACAAGGUUGA
Molecule: ribosomal RNA, 771 nt
Filed under: Triticum aestivum (bread wheat)
Lineage: Eukaryota; Viridiplantae; Streptophyta; Magnoliopsida; Poales; Poaceae
Description: partial small subunit ribosomal RNA
Source: RNAcentral